RNAcentral lists this ribosomal RNA (289 nucleotides) under uncultured bacterium. RNAcentral describes it as "partial 16S ribosomal RNA". It matches the Rfam family "Bacterial small subunit ribosomal RNA", at positions 29 to 289 of the family's 1533-position model. The record is from RNAcentral.
ACGAACGCUGGCGGCGUGCUUAAGACAUGCAAGUCGAGCGGGGGGGACCCAGAGCAGCUUGCUGUGAGGGUUCCCUAGCGGCGGACGGGUGAGUAACGCGUGGGCAACCUACCCGCGAAUCGGGGACAACAGUGGGAAACCGCUGCUAAUACCGGAUGAGCUUUUCUGACCGCAUGGUUGGGGAAGGAAAGGCAGCCUCUGCAUAGCAAGCUGUCGUUCGCGGAUGGGCCCGCGUCCCAUUAGCUAGUUGGUGGAGGUAACGGCCCACCAAGGCGACGAUGGGUAGCCG